This 201-nucleotide small RNA is filed under the name Pseudomonas aeruginosa PAK. RNAcentral's name for it is "potential sRNA". The record is from RNAcentral. Lineage: Bacteria; Pseudomonadati; Pseudomonadota; Gammaproteobacteria; Pseudomonadales; Pseudomonadaceae.
CAGAUUCUGUCAAUCGCCACAAGCAACUGUCGCGAACCGGUCGGGAUCGGUUGGAUUCUAGUUCGCUACGGCUGGGAAACGCAGGAUAUUUUGCCUGGCCGGCAGAUCUCCCGCCGCCCACUCAGCGCAACCGGUGCUUGUGCAACAGGCGGUAGAAGGUCGGCCGCGAGACCCCGAGCAUCCGCGCGGCCACGCUGAGGU